RNAcentral lists this ribosomal RNA (484 nucleotides) under uncultured bacterium. RNAcentral's name for it is "partial 16S ribosomal RNA". It matches the Rfam family "Bacterial small subunit ribosomal RNA", at positions 30 to 507 of the family's 1533-position model. The record is from RNAcentral.
AUUGAACGCUGGCGGCAGGCCUAACACAUGCAAGUCGAGCGGAUGAAGGGAGCUUGCUCCUGGAUUCAGCGGCGGACGGGUGAGUAAUGCCUAGGAAUCUGCCUGGUAGUGGGGGAUAACGUCCGGAAACGGGCGCUAAUACCGCAUACGUCCUGAGGGAGAAAGUGGGGGAUCUUCGGACCUCACGCUCUCAGAUGAGCCUAGGUCGGAUUAGCUAGUUGGUGGGGUAAAGGCCUACCACGGCGACGAUCCGUAACUGGUCUGAGAGGAUGAUCAGUUACACUGGAACUUAAACACGUGCCAGACUCCUACGGGAGGCAGCAGUGGGGAAUAUUGGACAAUGGGCGAAAGCCUGAUCCAGCCAUGCCGCGUGUGUGAAGAAGGUCUUCGGAUUGUAAAGCACUUUAAGUUGGGAGGAAGGGCAGUAAGUUAAUACCUUGCUGUUUUGACGUUACCAACAGAAUAAGCACCGGCUAACUUCGUG